UCUCCGUAGGUGAACCUGCGGAAGGAUCAUUACCGAGUUAUGGUCUCUCAGGCCCGAGCUCGCAACCUGUGGGUUUGUGACCUUGCUGCUUUGGCGGGCCUGCCACGAUGAGAGGCCGCCGGAAGCGCACCGCUUUGGGCCCGUGCCGGUCAGUAGUCACCUUAAAUUCUUAAUAACCCUGACACUUGAGUAUAGGGAAAUAUUGAAAAAAAACUUUCAACAACGCAUCUCUUAGUUCAGGAAUCUAAGAAGAAGGUAGCAGAGCUGAAGAGCACACGG
This 279-nucleotide unclassified non-coding RNA is filed under the name plant metagenome. RNAcentral describes it as "partial contains small subunit ribosomal RNA, internal transcribed spacer 1, and 5.8S ribosomal RNA". The record is from RNAcentral.